UUCACAAAAGUUCACUUUCCAACCUUUUACUGUUUCAGUUGUUUUAAUUUCUAUAAAGCAUGUUCAGAUUUUGUGUUAUAUCAGUAUAAUGAGGAGCACGCUGCAUAAGAAGUUUGACAAAAAGAAAGGACAACAUUCAUUUCAUUAAGCUUGUUGAUUUAGCAAAAAGAAAAGCUGUCCUAAUAUCGCAUUCAGAUACAUUUUAAAUGUUAUAAUUUUUUUGCCCUCCUGCCCUCUUUUUCUAACAAAGCAGAUAAAGUGUGAGUGUAGUGACCCAUGUUGGGUUACUUCUUGCCAUGCAACUAGUUCCCAGUAAUCAUCUACUGGAUAAAGGAUUGAAGACUUUUUAGAAGACGAUGACAGUAGAGGAGGUAGUAUAGCAGUGGGGAAGCAUGGUAGCGUUGCUGCGUUUUAACAUGGGAUUCAAUCCCAGGGGUAGGCUACACAUUCUCUGCAAUCUUUCUCUGGAUAAGUUGACCUAGAAAAUAAAUGGAUUGAUGGUAUGGUAGUGCAGUUGUUGGUGAUGCUUCCUCACAGUUCCAGAAGCUUAAUUUACAAUCAUGGCCAUGUUGUUCAUAUGGGAUUUUUUCCAGAAUGGAAGACUUGCGGCCAUUCCAUCACUUUCCCAUUGUCCACCCUCCUGGACCCGCCCCUUCCUGCCUGGAAGCCAUGUGACCAGAAGUUCUAUUUUGAGCUCUUGUCUGAAGAGACACAUCCACAACUUUUUGCGUGUAUUUUGUUUUGAAAACUUUGCAAUUAUACAGGGUCAGCAGGGUGGUGCCCUAACUCUUUGACAUUGUUUUGUCUCCCCUUUACAGACCUUAUAUGUUGAAGGACGUAUCUACAAUGUCACACGUUAGACUUGCCAUCUGCAGUUGCUGAUCUUGACAUUUAACCAGACCAGCCACAGGAAAUUCCGCCUGGGCCAGAUGACAUCACUUAAGGCUACGGGGACAGAUGAUGUGACUUCCCCUGUCCAGCUUUAAAACUGCCAUGUUUUGCCUGUCACCUCAGUUCUGGCUUGGACUAAUGUUUGUAAAGACCAUUGCUCAAAUCUUUGCCUUUUUACAGCCAAUUUUCAAGUACACAGGGUGUCUGCCCCAAACCUUUUUGCAGUGUUGUUUGAAUCAUUUCACAACAUACACCUUUGGGAUGUGGAAUGUUACCCAAAUGCCUGGAGAAAACCUAAGCAGACAUGAAGAGAAAUAGACCGCAAGACACCUGAAUAGUGACAGGGCGAAGAAUGACGUCAGUUGGCAAGUGAUUCCACCAGCUGUCAACAUGUAGAUGUUGUUUUCAAAAAAAAUUACAGAUUAAUUUUCCUUUUCUUUAUUAAUGUACAUUUUUAUUUUUAUUAAUUUUCUUAUUUGUUCUAUUAAUUAUUUGUACUUUAUUUUGGGUUGUGGCUUGUCCAUUCCUACUUCACAAUUUUAGAGACCUUGCUUUUUUUCUGUUAAGAAGUACUUUCAGGACCUUUAUGUUACAAUAUGAGUCCUCAGAAUGGAGAUAAGAUUAUUUUCUAAUGAUGCAGUUUAUGAACUAAAAAAACUAUUGAUUUUUCAGUUGCAUUGACCAUAUAUUUUUGUGUUUGUACGUGUACUUCUGGACUUUCUUCAUUUCAUACAAAUUACUUGUAACUAUGCAGUAUGCCAGUUAAAUACGCAAUCCAGUUUGCAUUUUGAAAGUUAAUAUUUACCAUGGAGUAAGAUAAAGCCUGCUCUGUAAAGUCAA
Molecule: long non-coding RNA, 1731 nt
Organism: Polypterus senegalus (gray bichir)
Lineage: Eukaryota; Metazoa; Chordata; Cladistia; Polypteriformes; Polypteridae
Exons: 5
Source: RefSeq, a predicted model, not a curated record